GCUAAUUUGUACCAAGUGGUAGAGCCCUCUCCCAAGGAUGGUCUCAUGUCUUAGGACCUUGAGGGAGAGAAAAGACAAGCUCAUGGGAACAGGCCGCUUCAGUGGCCCUCACACCAGAACACAGAGGAAGCCAAGAAUGAAACCUCACAACGUAGCCAAGGAUGACCUUGAACUUCGGAACUGCCUGCCUCCACCUCGGAAAGGCCAAGAUGCUGUGAUAACAUCCACUGUGAGCAACUGGUGAUUCAAUCCCAGGCUUUGUGCAUCCUAGAGAGAGGCCCCACCUCCACCCCACCCCCUACUCCCCACCCCCCAGCCACUGAAAUCUCUUUGGAUCUCAACAAUGUCAGGAGCACCAAGGAUUAGCGACAGCUGAGUCUCCUGUGUCUUGUGUCCCUGCUCCUCUCCUGCUGGAUCUGGCUGACAAACCCUUGGCAUUCCAUGUCUCCAGGAAGGCACAGUUCUGAAUUCUGCCCAUUCAGUUCUGGUGGUCUGAGACACAUUGACACUCCUCCAAGACCAACUGCUGUAGCAUCAGGCUGCUUGGUCAGAGUUGAGGCAAACCGAAGGAUUGAGUCAAGAUGCAGAACAGGACUGUCAGCAUCAACGGCAGGACAACAUUGGACUGAAAUCCCUGGGACAGGCCCUACGCAGAGCCUCCAGAAGGUGCAUCUGGGUGGUGGCUUUCUGCAGAGUGGGCAGAGAUCUUCGUGGACGCCUCCGGAAACUCCAGAAUUAUUUGUGUUCUCUUCCCCCCUUCCCACUCCCCAGCCAUAAAAAAUGAUGACUCCCAAAAA
Long non-coding RNA from Mastomys coucha (southern multimammate mouse), 797 nucleotides. RefSeq lists it as uncharacterized. The transcript is spliced from 3 exons. Lineage: Eukaryota; Metazoa; Chordata; Mammalia; Rodentia; Muridae. The record is from RefSeq and is a predicted model, not a curated record.